Molecule: ribosomal RNA, 465 nt
Filed under: uncultured bacterium
Lineage: Bacteria
Description: partial 16S ribosomal RNA
Rfam family: Bacterial small subunit ribosomal RNA
Source: RNAcentral
CCUACGGGUGGCAGCAGUGGGGAAUAUUGCGCAAUGGGCGAAAGCCUGACGCAGCGACGCCGCGUGAGGGAUGAAGGUCUUCGGAUCGUAAACCUCUGUCAGCAGGGAAGAACGGUCACUGUGCUAAUCAGCAGUGAAUUGACGGUACCUGCAAAGGAAGCACCGGCUAACUCCGUGCCAGCAGCCGCGGUAAUACGGAGGGUGCGAGCGUUAAUCGGAAUUACUGGGCGUAAAGCGCUCGUAGGCGGUAUGUCAAGUCAAGGGUGAAAUCCCCGCGCUCAACGUGGGAACUGCCUUUGAAACUGGCAAACUGGAGUGUGUGAGAGGAUAGUGGAAGUCCAGGUGUAGGAGUGAAAUGCGUAGAUAUCUGGAGGAACAUCAGUGGCGAAGGCGACUAUCUGGCACAUAACUGACGCUGAGGAGCGAAAGCGUGGGUAGCAAACAGGAUUAGAUACCCUAGUAGUC